RNAcentral lists this transfer RNA (71 nucleotides) under Bacteriophage sp. RNAcentral's name for it is "tRNA-Met". It matches the Rfam family "tRNA". From Rfam's summary of the family: Transfer RNA (tRNA) molecules are approximately 80 nucleotides in length. Their secondary structure includes four short double-helical elements and three loops (D, anti-codon, and T loops). RNAcentral also lists the same sequence under 2 other names. The record is from RNAcentral.
CGCGAGAUGAUGAAAUGGUAUCAUAUUAGGCUCAUAACCUAAAUUUGCUAGUUCGACUCUAGCUCUCGCAA